This 253-nucleotide ribosomal RNA is filed under the name uncultured bacterium. RNAcentral describes it as "partial 16S ribosomal RNA". It matches the Rfam family "Bacterial small subunit ribosomal RNA", at positions 524 to 776 of the family's 1533-position model. The record is from RNAcentral.
UACGUAGGGGGCAGGCGUUGUCCGGAAUCAUUGGGCGUAAAGAGCGUGUAGGCGGCCCGAUAAGUCCGCUGUGAAAGUCCAGGGCUCAACCCUGGGAUGCCGGUGGAUACUGUCGGGCUCGAGUCCGGAAGAGGAGUGUGGAAUUCCUGGUGUAGCGGUGAAAUGCGCAGAUAUCAGGGGGAACACCAAUGGCGAAGGCAGCACUCUGGGACGUGACUGACGCUGAGACGCGAAAGCGUGGGGAGCAAACAGG